CUCUUAAAUAUCACAAUUUUUUUAAAAACAAAAUAAUAUACAAGAGAAAAAAAAAUCCUAAAUAAGAUUCACUAAAUGGUAAAAUGAUUUAAAUUACUCUACCCUAAUUUUACUCUCUAAGUACUAAAUAAUACUUUUAACCUUACCCAAAGAAAGUCUUUUAAUUUGUUUUGUGAUUUUUUAAAACAAAAUAUAUUAUAUUUAUAUUUAAGGUAUUUCACAAUAUUAUAUAUUAAUAAAAUUAUGGAUAAAUGAAUGAUGAGAAGUUCAGGAUGAAGCUUUUAACAGAAAAUAACAGAUA
Molecule: long non-coding RNA, 301 nt
Organism: Brassica rapa (field mustard)
Lineage: Eukaryota; Viridiplantae; Streptophyta; Magnoliopsida; Brassicales; Brassicaceae
Source: RefSeq, a predicted model, not a curated record